Molecule: long non-coding RNA, 270 nt
Filed under: Panax ginseng (ginseng)
Lineage: Eukaryota; Viridiplantae; Streptophyta; Magnoliopsida; Apiales; Araliaceae
Description: long non-coding RNA (PGIN_LNC007292)
Source: RNAcentral
UCAACUAGCCCAGUAAAGAACAUUAUGACUAAGAUAAUAUACAACAAAUUAUCGUUAGUCUUCAACAGGAAAAAUCUGAUAAAUUAUAAUAGACAACAAGUUUUAGAUCAAUAAAUGCAGCGGAACAGCAAUCCAUUAGAAGAGUCACGUAGAGAAAGAAUUCUACUGUCUUCUAAGGUUUAAAAGUCCAUCAUCAAUAUUUUAUCCCUGUAACAACAAUCAAUAUUCAUCUUUGCACUACAGGCCAAAGAUAUUCAUUUAAAUCACCAG